AAAUUAAUCAAUUUUACUUUCUGAUAGUUUGCUGCUGUUGCAACUUUACCAUUUGAUGUAGUAAAAACACAAAAGCAGACACAACUUUGGACAUAUGAAAGUCAUAAAAUUUCUAUGCCUUUGCAUAUGUCAACCUGGAUUAUAAUGAAGAACAUUGUUGCUAAAAAUGGAUUUUCCGGAUUAUUUUCAGGCCUAAUUCCUCGCUUAAUUAAAAUUGCUCCUGCUUGUGCCAUUAUGAUCAGUACAUAUGAAUUUGGAAAGGCUUUUUUCCAGAAACAAAAUGUUCGAAGGCAGCAAUACUAGUGAUGCUGUUUCAACUUGAAACAACAACUAUAGCCAAAGAAGAUGGAGACUCUUAGGCAAGAAUGUUUUUCACCAUUAUUCUCUCACAAUGAUUUUAUGUCUUUCUUUCCUAUAAUUUAAAUAAAUAAUUUCAGCUCU
RNAcentral lists this long non-coding RNA (441 nucleotides) under Homo sapiens (human). Its description in RNAcentral is "non-protein coding lnc-ABCB1-1:2". Lineage: Eukaryota; Metazoa; Chordata; Mammalia; Primates; Hominidae. The record is from RNAcentral.